This 68-nucleotide transfer RNA is filed under the name Clostridium sp. Bc-iso-3. Its description in RNAcentral is "tRNA-Lys". It matches the Rfam family "tRNA". Rfam says of the family: Transfer RNA (tRNA) molecules are approximately 80 nucleotides in length. Their secondary structure includes four short double-helical elements and three loops (D, anti-codon, and T loops). RNAcentral also lists the same sequence under 1 other name. Lineage: Bacteria; Bacillati; Bacillota; Clostridia; Eubacteriales; Clostridiaceae. The record is from RNAcentral.
GGCAGUGCAGAUUAGAGAUACUUCGCCUUUUAAGCGAGAGGUCGCCGGUUCGAGUCCGGUCAUGGACA